Molecule: ribosomal RNA, 253 nt
Filed under: uncultured bacterium
Lineage: Bacteria
Description: partial 16S ribosomal RNA
Rfam family: Bacterial small subunit ribosomal RNA
Source: RNAcentral
UACGUAGGGUGCAAGCGUUGUCCGGAAUUAUUGGGCGUAAAGCGCGUGUAGGCGGCCCUGCAAGUCGGGUGUGAAAUCCCACGGCUCAACCGUGGAAGUGCACUCGAAACUGCAGGGCUAGAGUCCUGGAGAGGAAGGUGGAAUGCUUGGUGUAGAGGUGAAAUUCGUAGAUAUCAAGCGGAACACCGGUGGCGAAGGCGGCCUUCUGGACAGUGACUGACGCUGAGACGCGAAAGCGUGGGGAGCAAACAGG